UUGAACGCUGGCGGCAGGCCUCACACAUGCAAGUCGCGCGGAUGAAGGGAGCUUGCUCCUGGAUUCAGCGGCGGACGGGUGAGUAAUGCCUAGGAAUCUGCCUGGUAGUGGGGGAUAACGUCCGGAAACGGGCGCUAAUACCGCAUACGUCCUGAGGGAGAAAGUGGGGGAUCUUCGGACCUCACGCUAUCAGAUGAGCCUAGGUCGGAUUAGCUAGUUGGUGGGGUAAAGGCCUACCAAGGCGACGAUCCGUAACUGGUCUGAGAGGAUGAUCAGUCACACUGGAACUGAGACACGGUCCAGACUCCUACGGGAGGCAGCAGUGGGGAAUAUUGGACAAUGGGCGAAAGCCUGAUCCAGCCAUGCCGCGUGUGUGAAGAAGGUCUUCGGAUUGUAAAGCACUUUAAGUUGGGAGGAAGGGCAGUAAGUUAAUACCUUGCUGUUUUGACGUUACCAACAGAAUAAGCACCGGCUAACUUCGU
This 482-nucleotide ribosomal RNA is filed under the name uncultured bacterium. RNAcentral's name for it is "partial 16S ribosomal RNA". It matches the Rfam family "Bacterial small subunit ribosomal RNA", at positions 30 to 506 of the family's 1533-position model. The record is from RNAcentral.